GCCUUUGUGGUGUAGUGGUCAGCACACUUGAUGCAUAACCUAGAGGACCGUGGUUUGAUUCCCGGCGAAGGCG
Stegodyphus mimosarum is the source of this 73-nucleotide non-coding RNA. NCBI's taxonomy places the organism in Eukaryota, Metazoa, Arthropoda, Arachnida, Araneae, Eresidae. The record is from Rfam.